RNAcentral lists this ribosomal RNA (430 nucleotides) under Pseudomonadota bacterium. RNAcentral describes it as "Proteobacteria bacterium partial 16S ribosomal RNA". It matches the Rfam family "Bacterial small subunit ribosomal RNA", at positions 355 to 776 of the family's 1533-position model. The record is from RNAcentral. Lineage: Bacteria; Pseudomonadati; Pseudomonadota.
UGGGGAAUAUUGGACAAUGGGGGGAACCCUGAUCCAGCCAUGCCGCGUGUGUGAAGAAGGCCUUAUGGUUGUAAAGCACUUUAAGCGAGGAGGAGGGUACUGGUAUUAAUACUACCAGCUACUGGACGUUACUCGCAGAAUAAGCACCGGCUAACUCUGUGCCAGCAGCCGCGGUAAUACAGAGGGUGCGAGCGUUAAUCGGAUUUACUGGGCGUAAAGCGUGCGUAGGCGGCUAAUUGAGUCGGAUGUGAAAUCCCCGAGCUUAACUUGGGAAUUGCAUUAGAUACUGGUUAGCUAGAGUGUGGGAGAGGAUGGUAGAAUUCCAGGUGUAGCGGUGAAAUGCGUAGAGAUCAGGAGGAAUACCGAUGGCGAAGGCAGCCAUCUGGCCUAACACUGACGCUGAGGUACGAAAGCAUGGGGAGCAAACAGG